Non-coding RNA from Pelobates cultripes (western spadefoot toad), 1293 nucleotides. The record is from the annotation of a GenBank genome assembly. Lineage: Eukaryota; Metazoa; Chordata; Amphibia; Anura; Pelobatidae.
CUCCAAGGUAUUAUCAUCGGUGAGAUUUAGUGUUAUGUUCUAAAAACGGUGCAAAGUAAUGAGAACUGGCAAAAGCUUAAAGAAACUCUGCAGCGGUUAGUCCACACUCCGGUCUUAAAAAUGUUUUUGCUCACACUGUGGAUACCAGUGGAGCCAGCAGGCACAUGCCGAUCGGGACUCCUUAUGUAUUGAAAACACUUUCCUAAAAAAAAAAAUAUUUUAUAAAAUUUACUAGGGCCUGAUUCUUCUUCUUAUGGUAUUAUGUAUUUGCUCACGGGUUGAAGAAAUGUGGAAUGGGUUAUAAUAUUAAAGAUUAUACAGUAUCAGUUAAGAAUAGAUCAUAAAUAUGCUAAUGAGUUUCAGAAUGCAAAUUCCCAAAAUGACAAAGAGUAUCAAAGAGUACACAGCAUAAACAGAACUGUAAAAGUCAAUGUGCCCAAAACCAAGUCACACUAGCUUGUUUCCAAAUAUACAAAGUGAGUACUCUGUGUUAGGGAAACUAGAAUUAGAAACAAAACUUGCCAGGUCCAGAACCAGAACAAAAUCAACCAGGACUACAACUGUCUUUAUGGACUAUGAAAACACAAAAGGAUACUGGUCCAAAGAAGGCCAGGGUUUAAACAGGACCAAGCCCUGAGGUUAUCAUCAAGCAUCAAUUCUUGAUUUGAAGGACUUGGGGGAAAAGAAAAAAGAAAUACAAGUACCAAGAUCACAAAUUGCAUCAUUUUAAGAACGAACAAGACCAAAAUGACACAAGUAAGAGUGAGUAAGAGGAAUAUUGCAAAUAAAAUGUGGCCCAGUGAUUUGUCUUACAGCAGGGGUCGCAACCUAUGGCACAUGCAUUUGAAUGGCUUGCGCGAGUGCUGACCUCACUCUCCUGGACAUACUGAGGAGUAGGUUUGAGCAAUGUUUCCACGGAGUCAGCAUAAACUCAGCUUAUCAUUGGCCGCUCAUUGCCAGUAAGGGUUAAAAAUUUAUGUUUAUUCGGGAUGGGCAGCCAGUAAGAGUGUGAGUGUCAGUUGACACUAUGCUCAUCACUGCUGCCCCCUUGCUGCUCAAGCUAAUGUUUCCACAUUAACCAAAGCAGCAGACGAUCAUCUGGGGACACUAUGCCUAAAAUGGAGCUACACUAGAAGGCAAGAUAGUUUAAGGAGACUGGAUAAUUAGCUGGAGCAGAAAAUUAGAGGCAGCAGAUGGGCACAUCUUGGGAGAUUAUUUCUUUUACAGUAUAUGAGAAACAGUUUAACUCCAGAAAGUAAGACUUGGCACUUCACUGAGAAAAGGUGGUUAUGG